GUGCUCACUUCAGCAGCACAUAUACUAAAAUUGGAACAACACAGAGAUUAGCCUGGCCCCUGAGCAAGGAUGACAUGCAAAUUUGUGAAGUGUUCCAUAUUUUU
This 104-nucleotide small nuclear RNA is filed under the name Vulpes vulpes (red fox). Lineage: Eukaryota; Metazoa; Chordata; Mammalia; Carnivora; Canidae. The record is from RNAcentral.